GCAGCCACCAUUUAAAGAGUGCGUAAUAGCUCACUGGUCGAGAGACCCUGCGCCGAAGAUUCCCGGGGCUAAAGUACGAAACCGAAGCUGUGGCUGUAUACGUAAAGUAUACGGGGUAGGGGAGCGUUCCCAUAGGGUAGAAGUCGAACUGGAAGGUUCGGUGGACUUGUGGGAAGUGAGAAUGUUGGUAUGAGUAGCGAAAAGAAAGGUGAGAAUCCUUUCCACCGAAAGCAUAAGGAUUCCUGAGCAACGAUCGUCGUCUCAGGGUAAGUCGGGACCUAAUCCGAGGCAGAGAGCGUAGGAGAUGGACAACUGGUUGAUAUUCCAGUACCGGUAGUAAUUGUUUGAGCAAUGGAGUGACACAGAAGGGCAGGCAAGCAUGCGAAUGGAAGAGCAUGUGUAAGCGUGUAGGGUGGUGCAUAGGCAAAUCCGUGCACUGAAAGCCUGAGGCGUGAUGCGGAGUGAGCAGAGAUGCGAGCGAAGUUGUUGACCCCACACUGUCGAGAAAAGCUUCUAGUGAGAGAGCUACCGCCCGUACCGUAAACCGACACAGGUAUGCGGGGAGAGAAUCCUAAGGUGCGCGGGAGAACCCUCGUUAAGGAACUCGGCAAAAUGUACCCGUAACUUCGGGAUAAGGGUAGCCACUGUUGUGAAGUCCCAUGCGGAUGGAGCAUAGAGUGGUCGCAGAGAAGAGGCCCAAGCGACUGUUUACCAUAAACACAGGUGCCUGCUAAAGCGAAAGCUGACGUAUAGGUGCUGACACCUGCCCAGUGCCGGAAGGUUAAGGAAGGAUGUUCGGAGUAAUCCAAAGCAUUCGACUGAAGCCCCGGUGAACGGCGGCCGUAACUAUAACGGUCCUAAGGUAGCGAAAUUCCUUGUCGGGUAAGUUCCGACCCGCACGAAAGGUGUAACGAUUUGGGCACUGUCUCAACGAGGGACCCGGUGAAAUUGAAAUACCUGUGAAGAUGCAGGUUACCCGCGACUGGACAGAAAGACCCCAUGGAGCUUUACUGUAACCUGACAUUGGGUUUUGAUACAUUACGUACAGGAUAGGUGGGAGGCUUGGAAAGCUGGACGCUAGUCUGGCUGGAGCCGACGUUGGGAUACCACCCUUGAUGUAUUGAAAUUCUAACCGCGAGAGUAACGAAAUCCGGGACAGUGUCAGGCGGGCAGUUUGACUGGGGCGGUCGCCUCCGAAAGAGUAACGG
Molecule: ribosomal RNA, 1208 nt
Filed under: human gut metagenome
Description: bacterial LSU rRNA
Rfam family: Bacterial large subunit ribosomal RNA
Source: RNAcentral